GCAGUAUUAACAUUCAGAACUCCCAUGCUGCACUGUUUUCCCACAUGCUACAUAAAAAUGCUGUACAGUUUCUCUCUCCAAGGCUCCUCUAUUAGGGUAUUAAAUAACUCUGUGCUUCCAGUUUGGUUAAUGCCUUCAUUUUUAUAGAAUACAGUUUUGCGCACUCAUUCAAAUUACUAUUUAUUGCAAAAUAAGUAUGGUAAAAUAAUAAUUUUACCCAAUGUUGCCUUAAUAUUAAUUUUCAAACUGUGAAAGUCGAUGGAAAAUAAAUCUGGGAGAGGAUUGGUGAAAUGAAAGAUGCAGAAUCACAGAAUAAAUGAGUUCCUAGAGAAUAACUUGUGCUUAUAUGUAUUCUUAACGAGUUAUAAGAAAAUACAAUGGAAAAAAAUUCUGCAAUUACAAAGGAAGCAGCAGGGAUUUAUAUAUACUGGUAUAGUGAGGAGUGGGGAAAACGCUCAAGAAUCUGGGUCAUCGCUUAUAUUGUCUCCUAUCACAACACUGAUUGUUGUUAACUCAGUUUCAGAAGGGCAGCUUUUCCACGGUUUUGGUGUUUUUGAGGAAGGUGUAACGCCUUCAGAAUGUACCAGUGAGAUUUUGAAGAGUCUGUGUGAUGAGUGGGCAACACAGUGCCCCAUUGUUUUCAGCUCCUCCAAACUCUGUAAGUAUCCAAGGAUAAGCAGAUUUUUGUUUUGUUUUGUUUUUUUUUCCUCUUAG
This 714-nucleotide long non-coding RNA is filed under the name Calidris pygmaea (Spoon-billed sandpiper). Its description in RNAcentral is "lncRNA (ENSCPGG00000016315.1)". The record is from RNAcentral. Lineage: Eukaryota; Metazoa; Chordata; Aves; Charadriiformes; Scolopacidae.